GAUGAACGCUAGCGGCAGGCCUAAUACAUGCAAGUCGAACGGUAACAUGAGUAGCAAUACUUGAUGACGAGUGGCGCACGGGUGCGUAACGCGUAUGUAAUCUACCUUCAACUGGUGAAUAGCCCGAAGAAAUUCGGAUUAAUACACCAUAGUAUAUUUGAGUGGCAUCACUUAAAUAUUAAAACUCCGGUGGUUGAAGAUGAGCAUGCGUGACAUUAGCUAGUUGGCGGGGUAAUGGCCCACCAAGGCUAAGACGGUUAGCUGGUCUGAGAGGAUGAUCAGCCACACUGGCACUGGAACACGGGCCAGACUCCUACGGGAGGCAGCAGUGGGGAAUAUUGGACAAUGGGGGCAACCCUGAUCCAGCCAUGCCGCGUGUGUGAAGAAGGCCUUCGGGUUGUAAAGCACUUUAGGUCGGGAGGAAGGUUCGCUGGCUAAUAUCCAGCGGAAUUGACGUUACCGACAGAAUAAGCACCGGCUAACUCCGUGCCAGCAGCCGCGGUAA
This 505-nucleotide ribosomal RNA is filed under the name uncultured bacterium. RNAcentral describes it as "partial 16S ribosomal RNA". It matches the Rfam family "Bacterial small subunit ribosomal RNA", at positions 28 to 523 of the family's 1533-position model. The record is from RNAcentral.